Molecule: RNA transcript, 3784 nt
Organism: Doryrhamphus excisus (bluestripe pipefish)
Lineage: Eukaryota; Metazoa; Chordata; Actinopteri; Syngnathiformes; Syngnathidae
Gene name: chemokine-like protein TAFA-1
Source: RefSeq, a predicted model, not a curated record
UCUCCCCGCUCUCUCUCUUCCCAGCUGGACCAGGUUGGAAUCCACACAUGCUCACUCUGCCUCCCUGACACAGACUCUCUACUUAGUGCUGGGGGAGGACCGGGAGGACCGGGAGGACCGGGGCUUCUCAAUGAGGGGACGCAGCCAAGAGCAGACAGAGCAGUCAUUCCUCCGGAGCUUUCCGCUGCACGCAUGACAAGGAGUGUGAAGGUGGGGGUGUCAGAAAAGCUCCCUGUCACCACAAAAUAGGACUUCUACUGGCGGAGAGCAAGGCAGCGGCGGAGGCAAAGAAGACAAAAAGAGAUUUCCACAUCUGACGCUGAAACAGCCGUGACGUGAUGAGUCCCUUAGUCCUCAGACCAGGGGGUGACACAGACUUGAGGGGGUGCUGGCUUUGCUGACUCUUUGUGUUGUCAAGGAAUUGAAAGGAAGUGAGAAGUCUGGUCCAGAGGAGCCACGACCCACAAAAGAAAAGAACAUUUGAGAUCCCCUUUUGUGUUGGCUUCGGCUAAUCUGAAAUCUGGGAUUGCUUUCUCCACAAUGGAUGCCUUUCAAGAGGGGGAGUAAGUCUGCCAUCCCAACCCGGCUUGGUCCUCCUCCACUCCUUGCUCAGACCCGGCCUCAGGAUGUCCUGGUUGUUCGCCAUGUGGGUCAGCCUCAGCUUCCUGCUGCUGUGCCAGGCGUCCCUCUACCAGACCAUCCAGCAGCACCAUGUCGCCCGUCCCGGUCGCACCGACAUUCUCACCCUGGAGGGAGGGACGUGCGAGGUGAUUGCGGCCCACAGAUGCUGUAACAAGAACCGCAUCGAGGAGCGCUCUCAGACCGUCAAGUGCUCCUGUUUACCAGGCAAAGUGGCCGGAACAACACGCAACAAACCUUCAUGUGUGGACGCAUCCAUCGUAAUUGGGAAAUGGUGGUGUGAGAUGGAGCCGUGUCUGGAGGGGGAAGAGUGCAAGACUCUGCCCGACAACUCUGGAUGGAUGUGCUCCUCUGGAAAUAAAGUCAAGACCACGAGGAACACCCAGCCAUACUCCCCUUUUUAGCUUCCGGAAGCAAAAUGCAGAGGAAACGUCAACCGAAAUUGAGCUGCAUUCUUGCUUCUGUAAAGAUUAAUCCCAGGACCUAGCAGCGAGCUCUCAUCAGGACCAUCAGGACCAGCCUCAUGCCAGCCUCUUCCCCUCAUCUACUCUUUCUCUUCCCCAUGAACGCUGUAAAACUAUUACAUCCACGGCUGCUGACUGGAUUACCUGGGACCACGGAAUGGAUAUCCACCUCGAUAAAACAGCUUUGCUGGUGUGUUGCCAAGGAUUUCAAACCGCUAAUCCCCUGUUUGAUCAAGGAUGUUGGCUGCUGGUGAUCUCCUCCACACAACUGUGGCCAGUUUCCGUCCAGCUCCCUCCCAGUCCGCCCUCACUCAGCGUGUCCCUCAAAAACACAAGCAGCACAGGAGGGAACAUUUUGAGGUCAUCUGAACAGGAUGUGAAGAUGUUCCCCUUGCUGGUCAAAAAGCUACUGAGGAGGACGUGAACACGGAACUAAGAGCAUAAAAGCGGGAAUUGGCCUGACAUCCUUUUAUUUCUGUGUGGCUUGCCGCCUUUGUGUUCCAAGAUUACAAGAUGGUUUUGCAAGGACUGCGUGGGAGUGAGGGGGGAAAUGAGCCGCUUUUAGGAGGAUAAUCAAGACUUUUUUAAGGUCUUCCCUUAUGGCCUCACCUUUGCGGUCAAUAAUGAACAUUGACCUGAAAGGCAUGUACAUUCGGCUGCGCUACUUUUCUGUCUGUGUAAGACCCCCUGUGUGUAUAUAAUGAUAUGAAUAAGACAUGUACCCCAGCAGAGCCGAAAAGCUGCAAAGUAUAUUUAAGACUCUACUAGGAGCUUGACCCCCAUAGUGGAAUAUUGUUCUUUCCCCUCUCUGAGUAAAAGUGCGAUUCAUACUUGUGCAGAGCCCUGCUUUGGUGUGUAAAGGACUGCUUUACUCGAUAACUGUAACAAUGAGUAUCUGUCACUUUGGUCGUUGAGCCACGACAUGCUUGUCAACAUGAGGAAAAACACUGUAUAGGACUGCCUCAUAAACCAACAAUGCCUGAGGUUUCCACUCAGAUUGUCCACUGUUGCCAAACACCUGCAGGAAGACGGGCGUACUCACACUAGGCUAUUCCGACUGUGCUGGACUUGGUGGAGAUUCUCCCUCCCUCUUCUGGCCUCCGACUGAGCAUUCAUGCGUGUCCCAUUGCUUCUGCACUGCUGUAUUACCUGCUCUAUUACCUGACUCCGUGGAUUAUUGCCAGUCUUGAGUUGUUCCCAUUAUUUCUAUAGUGUUAUUUAUUACUUGCCAGAGUCGUUAUUCCACACACAAUUGUAUUCACUGGUGAGUGCCGUGGGUUUGAUGAUUUAGAGUAUUUAUUUUUCAUUGUAUGAUGAAAUGUGUCGCUUAUCAUUAAGAACCUGCACGGAACGAUCGCACUCGGCUACAUUGUGUGCGCGCAUGCUACCGCGGCGUGCCUCGGCCCACCUAUCUCAAGAAAUGGCGAACCCGAGCACGCAUCAUAAGACUCACGCAGUGAGAUUGCUUUACUGUGAGUACGCCCUUAUUCUCCGUCUCUGCUGCAGAAAGUGGUCUUCAGCAACCCUUGACAGUUGUUGAACAGAUGCUUCAUACACCAAACAGUGAAUAUUUAGGAUACAUAUUGGUAAACACAAAGUAUUGGCAGUCAAGAAAAAUACUGUUAUCCCCCAAGUAGAUAGAAGUACAUUACAGCAGAGCCUUAUGAGAAAUAAAAAGUGUUUUUCUAUACCGAUUUGCUGCCUCCAGUUCCUUCCUGUAGUAGAAUCAGGACUGCUUGAUGUGCUGUAAUACCUUGGCACACAAUCUUGUCACUUAUGGGAUGUAUUAACAUUGUGAAGAGACUUUUUGCUUGAGUGAAUUGGCAAUCAAAAACAACACAAGGCGAAUAUGAAAUGUGACUUCCAGGCAAACAAACGUGUAGUAAACACACACACCAUUCAGUGAUGCUUCGUUUAUCCUCGUCCCUUGGUGGUGGGCUGGAUUUAUCAGGACAGCACAUUUCAUUCAUUCGGGCAAUUAGAAUCAAGGUUUCCAAUAUUGUGCCAGGCCAACAUGGAGAUGAUUUUCAAUAUCAAGCUCUUCUCAGCUCAUUUGGGAUUCCCAGCGGAUGAGCUUGUAUACAUUUAUCACUGCAGAAAUUGUCAAGUUUCAUGGAGUGCAGAGCCACAAUAACAGAUGCAUCAGUGCCACAGUUAUGACUAAAUAUGCAAAACAUGCUUUUUGUUCUUUGUGUUCUCAAGAGAAAGACUCAUAACCACGUGCAUGAUAAUCUGUACAUUUUUAAGUGUGCAAACAAAGUCUGAGUACGGAUUACCACGGGGUACAAGCUACUUUUAAAAUAACCAACCCCAAAGAUCUACCUCGCUAACUCAUUCAUUCAUUAUUUCUGUACGUUUUAAAACAUCUUUUAACACGUAUGCAUCAUGGAAAACAAACGGCAGCACAGGCACAGACAACCUUUUAGAACCUGAUCCUGAUCCCGAUCUGAACAGGAACAGGAACCGGAGUGGAAUGCCAACACCGAAUUCAUAUCUCCAACUCCAAAAAACGUGUCUUGUCCGUUCGCCAUCGGAACGACACUUCCUCAUUGUGCACGAGAUGCAUUCACUGACACUCAGAACAUCACAACAGCAUAUUUAUUAUGCGUGUAUGUGUGGUCUAAAGAAACAGAAACCGAAAAAAACCUUAAGUGCAUAUUACUCACCAUGUCACUUUUAAU